GCCUUGAUGGCGAAAUGGUAGACGCGCGAGACUCAAAAUCUCGUGCUGAAGAGCGUGGAGGUUCGAGUCCUCUUCAAGGCA
This 81-nucleotide transfer RNA is filed under the name Hordeum vulgare. RNAcentral describes it as "tRNA-Leu". It matches the Rfam family "tRNA". Rfam says of the family: Transfer RNA (tRNA) molecules are approximately 80 nucleotides in length. The record is from RNAcentral. RNAcentral also lists the same sequence under 1 other name. Lineage: Eukaryota; Viridiplantae; Streptophyta; Magnoliopsida; Poales; Poaceae.